CUUCCUCCCCCCACACAGAACUGCCAGCAGCAGAGUCUGAGUCUUUGUGCUCUUCAUGCGAGGGCCGGUACAGUCAUGGGGUCUCUCUGCUGGGGGCUGCAUCUCCACACUGCUCUGCUGCUCCUCUUUAACACAGAUCCAUAUGAAGCAAUAUAUUCACAUUCAACUGAAAACCUGACAGUAUCUGUGGGAGAGGAAGUUAUCUUAUUCUGCAAUUAUUCAAUUUCAGAUUUAACCCAGAUUAACUGGAGGAGGAACCAUACAUUAAUUUUUACAUAUGGUAAAAAGAACCAAACACAGAAUAACUGCACCUCGGACAGAGUAUGUGUUGAUUUAAAUGAACCUAGAAAUCUGCGGAUCUCUUCAGUACGGAUGUCUGAUGAGGGAAUCUACAGCUGCACAUUCACCACUUGCAGGGGUACAUACAUAAAAGAGUGGAGAAUAAGCGUUAACGACACAAAGAAUGCUCCUCACUCUCAGAUGAAAAAUAUGAUUGAGUUUGUCGCAACUGCCGCGGCCGGAGUUACAGUCAUUGUAGGAAUUUGCUGCGCUCUCAUAUGCUACAGAGCUUUGAAGAAUAUACCGAACCGAAAUUGCCCAGAUACCUACAACACAGAAGGGACGGACACCGGACGCCGAAGAGCUCAGAGAGUCACCGGCGAUCAGUAUAUUGAGAGAAUAAAUUCAGUAUACGGGACUUCAGGACAAAACCGUGCCUAACACCUCGUUUUAUUUAAAAAAAAUCGGUUGUUCUUUUUUAAUGUCACAAAAUAGUCUGCAGUGUUUGAAUGUUGUGGAGCCUCGCAGGAAAUUAUUACUGAGGUAGGCAACUACCGGAACGUUAACAUAUCUGUCCAGCUAACAGGGGACGUCACCAGAACUUUAGCCAAACAUUAUUUAAAGCUCUUCUCAAAGCUGCCAAAGAAAGCUCCUAAUGUACUGGAACGUGAUUUCCACAUCUUACAUUUUAACAGAAGUUCUGUCAGUGUAUGAUAGCAUUAUUACCCGAACAUCCUUUUAACAUGUUGUUGUAAAAUAGUUUUAUAAUAAAACUUAUUUUAUAAAAUAUAUGUAUAUUGUAAAUGCACAAUCCACCCUUGGACCCAUGACCUUAAAGGUGCACAACCACAGUGCGACCUGCUGCUGUUCUAGGCCCGUUCUUUUUAUGUUAUUAGUUUUAGUUGUAGUGGUGAGAUAAGGUUCUGGGAACUUUAGUAAAACUGAGCACUUUGAACGUUUCCGUACUUUAAUCGUAAUGUUCGGCAAACGUUCCUAGAACGAAAAAUUAACUGGGUAGUAAUUGCGAUCGAAUUAAAAAUAGUGACAUUUAACGAAGACUGGACUACCUCCUGCCCAAAUGUGAUGUUUGGCAUGAAAGCCAUGCAAUAUUAUUCCGUUCAAGCUACUGCAUGUUGAUGUCUUUGUUUUAUAAUAAAAAUAUUUCGCAUA
Long non-coding RNA from Brienomyrus brachyistius, 1449 nucleotides. RefSeq lists it as uncharacterized. The transcript is spliced from 5 exons. NCBI's taxonomy places the organism in Eukaryota, Metazoa, Chordata, Actinopteri, Osteoglossiformes, Mormyridae. The record is from RefSeq and is a predicted model, not a curated record.